CCCCACUGCUAUCGGGAUAGGACUAAGACAUGCUAGUCGAGCGCUUCAGCCAAAACGAGGCGCGGCAUACAGCUCAGUAACACGUGGCUAACCUGCCCUUGGGACGAGAACAACCCCGGGAAACUGGGGAUAAUUCUCGAUAGGUGAAGAACUCUGGAAUGAGUCUUUGCUUAAAAGGCGUUGGAUCAUGCUUUCAGCGCCGCCCAAGGAUGGGGCCGCGACCGAUCAGGUUGUUGGCGAGGUAAUGGCCCACCAAGCCUUUUACCGGUGCGGGCCGUGAGAGCGGGAGCCCGGAGAUGGGUACUGAGAUAAGGACCCAGGCCCUACGGGGCGCAGCAGUCGCGAAACCUUUGCAAUACACGAAAGUGUGACAGGGCUAUCCCGAGUGCCAUCCGCUGAGGAAGGCUUUUACCCAGUAUAGAUCGCUGGGGGAAUAAGGAGAGGGCAAGUCUGGUGU
RNAcentral lists this ribosomal RNA (457 nucleotides) under uncultured archaeon. RNAcentral's name for it is "bacterial SSU rRNA". It matches the Rfam family "Archaeal small subunit ribosomal RNA", at positions 24 to 458 of the family's 1478-position model. The record is from RNAcentral.